UUUUUUUUUUUUUUUUUGUCAUUUCUUGGGCUGCUCUCAUGGCAUAUGGAGGUUCCCAGGCUAGGGGUCAAAUCGGAGCUACAGCUGCCUGCCUACGCCACAGCCACAGCAAUGCCAGAUCCGAGCCUUGUCUGCUCCUUACACCACAGCUCAUGGCAACAGAGGCCAGGGAUUGAACGCACAUCCUAAUGGAUCCUAGUUGGAUUCAUUUCUGCUGUGCCACAAUGGGAACUCCCCUUCCUUUGUAUUUUAAAGAACAGUGUCUAAAGUAGGUCCCAUCCUUUUGUUAUUCUCAACCACAGUUCCAACGGUUGAGUGUCUCCUGGGAUAUGCAUGCUCUGUUCCAUUUCUUUCUUUUUUUAAACAGACCCAGAGUCCCAGAAGAAGUUAGAUGUUGUGCUUACAAACUGCAUACACAUGGGCAUCAUGGAAGUGCAAAACUCCAAUAAAGAAAUAAGCACAUGGUUUCUUAGUUCAUUUUUUAUGUUAAUGAUGAAAGUGCAGGUAAGAAAAUAAGAACUAGCCUUAAGGACAUAUAAGUGAUGGAAAGAGAAGGAAAAUUCUAGGUGGAGCCCAGAGAAGUUAUCAUUCUCUUCCUAUCAACAUUGGGUGGAUGUGCAGGCCCCUUGCUUUAUAGCAGCAGAACAAAAUAAAAUGACUGAUGAUCAAAGAAACUCACAGAUGCCUACAGAAUUAAAUUAUCAACCCACUUUGACAUUUUGCAAGUAUAAACAGAAACAGAAAUAACUAGAGGUGUAGAAAUAGUUGAAGAAGCCCCUCAACAUUAAAUUCUAAACUUCAAAUUUGAAACACCUAGAGAUUGGGGUUUCUCUGUAAUCUAUAAAUCAGCCUUGAUUCAAAGAAAUAGCCAGGCUGGCAUGGGGGAGCAACUUUAGAUCUGGCCAGCACAGGACCUGGGGAGGCUCAGUAGAGACCCACUAUCUGUUAAUAAGGAAGAAGACCCAAAACAGAGCCAGGACAAAUAAUUCUGUCAUUUUACUGUCAAAAGUGUCCAACCAUUCUUUAUUGUGAAAAGGAUACAUAAUUAAGCUGUAUCUUUAUAUUAUUAUUUUUUUUUUACUAUUUGGCAUAUUAUUCAUUCCCAGUGAUGUUUCAUUUCUCCUCAAAUGAUUCUUUUGCAACCUUUAGAAAGCCCUGCAAUUUCCUUUUCAUUUGGCCGAACGUGGCAGACACAGGAGGGAGAGCUUCUAAAUCCUGUUGCUCAGAAUAUGGCUUUUUUUUUUUUUUUUUUUUUUUUUUUGUCUUUUCAGGGUCGCACCCACUGGAAAUGGAGGUUCCCAGGCUAGGGGUCUAAUCGAAGCUACAGCUGCCAGCCUACACCAGAGCCACAGCAACGCCAGAUCUGAGCCACGUCUGUGACCUAUAGCACAGCUCAUGGCAAUGCCUGAUCCUUAACCCACUGAGUAAGGCCAGGAAUCGAACUCAAAACCUCGUGGUUCCUAGUUGGAUUCCUUUCUGCUGCGCCACAACGGGAACUCCCAGAAUAUGUUUAAAAAAAAAAAAAAAGCAGGACCCCAGACAGGUGUGUAACUGUUUGAAUGGGCUAUCUCUUAUACAACUAGGAAUAAGACCUACUUGGAAGAAGUUUUGCUCUAAAAACUGUUGAUGCUCUUGACUUAUUGAGGGGAGUUCCAUAAAAUGGCCAUUACCAACUGUAUAAGACAAAACUCGUGUUAGCUCGAAGGUUAGUCCCUGUUUUAAAAUCCCAAAAAAGAUAAACCCUAUUAUGGGCCAUUUCCACUUUCCCCACUGCUUCCCUGACAAGAGAUAAUGUGGGUCUGAGGAGGAAACUGAAGAUUCAUGGCCCAAAUAGAGCAGAAGUCUUGUCUUGUGUAACUGCCCAAAUGCUAAUACAAACUCAUUGUUGCUCAAUUUGUUCUUUAAAAGCUGUGCUUUAUUCUAUUAACUUUGAUUUGCCCUCUUAGCUUCUGUCAUUUUUCCAUACUGGACUGUCCUGGCAAUCCUCCUCACCUUUCUGUCUGGGUUUCAGUCUCUGACAGGGGCUCUGUGCCUAGGUCUCCCUGCCAGGAUCCAUCUGGCCCAUCGGUAACUAACAGUCAUCUUAGCCUUGUCCAGUGGUGAUAGCUUCACCCGUAGAUUUAACUGAGACAAAACUGAACAACUUACCAUAAAUAUCGGAGUCAAGAAAAAAUUAUUAGGAGACUAGGCGUACAUAAGUUUAGAUAAAAACAGAGAAGGCAGGACGACAGUGUGGUCCAAGUAAUUUUCUCUGUGCAAAGAUGCCUUCUAUUUAGUAUAACUAAACACAUUACUUCUGGGGAAAAAAAAAAACAACAACAAAAAUUCACACUCCAAAAAAGGGAGAAAAACUAGUAUUGAGAGCAAUUAUGAGUAUGACUUAAAAUGUCACUUUUCAUCUGUUGUACAGGAGAGUAAAUAUCAUGAAAACUUAACCAUGAUAAGGAAAAAAAAACACUUAACCAUGAUGAAAUAUUUGUCAAACAGUAUUUGUUCCUAUAUUAAGAAAUUAAUACCCACAUGCACAACUUUGAGUUGAUAGAAACUAAAAACUUAAGGUAAUAGAAUUAAGGAUUUCAUUUUCCUUUUUAGAGUUUUAUAUAUUUUUCAAAUUUUUUGGAAAGGCGUUUUGGAAAUAGAAAAAAAAAAAAA
Molecule: long non-coding RNA, 2652 nt
Filed under: Sus scrofa (pig)
Lineage: Eukaryota; Metazoa; Chordata; Mammalia; Artiodactyla; Suidae
Description: lncRNA (ENSSSCG00060000366.1)
Source: RNAcentral